GGAGCUGUGAUUCAGAUGUAGAGCAUCUGCCUGGCAUGCAGAAGAUCCCAGAUUCAAUCCCUGGCAUCUCCA
This 72-nucleotide transfer RNA is filed under the name Sphaerodactylus townsendi. RNAcentral's name for it is "tRNA-Ala". It matches the Rfam family "tRNA". Rfam says of the family: Transfer RNA (tRNA) molecules are approximately 80 nucleotides in length. Their secondary structure includes four short double-helical elements and three loops (D, anti-codon, and T loops). Further hydrogen bonds mediate the characteristic L-shaped molecular structure. tRNAs have two regions of fundamental functional importance: the anti-codon, which is responsible for specific mRNA codon recognition, and the 3' end, to which the tRNAs corresponding amino acid is attached (by aminoacyl-tRNA synthetases). tRNAs cope with the degeneracy of the genetic code in two manners: having more than one tRNA (with a specific anti-codon) for a particular amino acid; and 'wobble' base-pairing, i.e. permitting non-standard base-pairing at the 3rd anti-codon position. The record is from RNAcentral. Lineage: Eukaryota; Metazoa; Chordata; Lepidosauria; Squamata; Sphaerodactylidae.